GUACACGCUGUGACUAGCAUAUCAAUAAGCGGAGGAAAAGAAACUAACAAGGAUUCCCUCAGUAACGGCGAGUGAAGCGGGAAGAGCUCAAAUUUGAAAUCUUCAAGGUUUUACCUUGACGAAUUGUAGUUUAAAGAAGUGUUUUCUGCUGAAGUUUUGGUAAAAGUUCUUUGGAAUAGGACAUCAUAGAGGGUGAGAAUCCCGUAUUUGACCAUUAUUUUCAGCUUCGUGAUACACUUUCAAAGAGUCGGGUUGUUUGGGAAUGCAGCCCAAAACGGGAGGUAAAUUUCUUCUAAGGCUAAAUAUUGGCGAGAGACCGAUAGCGAACAAGUACCGUGAGGGAAAGAUGAAAAGAACUUUGAAAAGAGAGUUAAAUAGUACGUGAAAUUGUCAAAAGGGAAGCGUUUGACACCAGUGUUGUUUUCUCGAAAAUCAAUUAAAAAUGGCUCGAUUUUGUAUUGCUGAGACCUUAAAAGCUCACUGUACAUUUUUCGUGUCUUUUUUAAUGCACUUUUCGUUUAACAAGUCAACAUCAGUUUCUUUUGUUGUAAAAGGGUCAUUGGAAGGUGGCUUUCUUUUCGGAGAAAGUGUUUAUAGCCUUUGGCCUCUGCAAUCGGAGAGACUGAGGUCUGCAGCGUAGACUCUUCGGGGUUAGAUACAUUUGUGCUAAGUUAUAGCUUUUUAUAGACAACUUGUUGACUAUAAUUAGUCUUGUAGCUUACUCGCUUAUGCUAUUUUACCUACGCUUAGGAUGUUGAGUAGCGACAUACGCAC
RNAcentral lists this ribosomal RNA (774 nucleotides) under uncultured Neocallimastigales. Its description in RNAcentral is "partial large subunit ribosomal RNA". It matches the Rfam family "Eukaryotic large subunit ribosomal RNA", at positions 22 to 649 of the family's 3401-position model. Lineage: Eukaryota; Fungi; Neocallimastigomycota; Neocallimastigomycetes; Neocallimastigales. The record is from RNAcentral.